UACGGAGGUGGCAAGCGUUGUUCGGAAUUACUGGGCGUAAAGGGCGCGUAGGCGGCCAUCUAAGUCAGACGUGAAAUCCCCCGGCUUAACCUGGGAACUGCGUCUGAUACUGGACGGCUUGAGUAUGGGAGAGGGAUGUAGAAUUCCAGGUGUAGCGGUGAAAUGCGUAGAUAUCUGGAGGAACACCGGUGGCGAAGGCGGCAUCCUGGACCGGUAUUGACGCUGAGGCGCGAAAGCCAGGGGAGCAAACGGG
This 253-nucleotide ribosomal RNA is filed under the name uncultured bacterium. Its description in RNAcentral is "partial 16S ribosomal RNA". It matches the Rfam family "Bacterial small subunit ribosomal RNA", at positions 524 to 776 of the family's 1533-position model. The record is from RNAcentral.